GUGGAUGGCUGUGGCUGAUGGGAGUCGGCGUGGCUCUUCAGUCCUCGUGGCCUGUCUUUCUUCCCUCCCGCGUGGAGGAAGCUGGGAGGAAGUAACUGCCACUUCCUCCCAGCACUACUUUGCGGCUGCAAAUUUUUAAAGAGGCCCAGUCGCGCUAUUGCACCAUUGUAUCACCGCCAAGGAUACCCAUUCCUGUAGUAUUAUAGCUCCUUGCAGAAUGAGUAUAACUGAUAUAACUUCCCC
Non-coding RNA from Pelobates cultripes (western spadefoot toad), 243 nucleotides. NCBI's taxonomy places the organism in Eukaryota, Metazoa, Chordata, Amphibia, Anura, Pelobatidae. The record is from the annotation of a GenBank genome assembly.